This 253-nucleotide ribosomal RNA is filed under the name uncultured prokaryote. RNAcentral describes it as "partial 16S ribosomal RNA". It matches the Rfam family "Bacterial small subunit ribosomal RNA", at positions 524 to 776 of the family's 1533-position model. The record is from RNAcentral.
UACGUAGGGGGCCAGCGUUGCUCGGAAUUACUGGGCGUAAAGGGUUCGUAGGUGGUGCGGUAAGUUGGGAGUGAAAUCUCUGGGCUUAACUCAGGGGCUGCUUUCAAAACUGCCGUGCUCGAGUGCGAGAGAGGUCAGUGGAAUUGCAGGUGUAGCGGUGAAAUGCGUAGAUAUCUGCAGGAACACCCGUGGCGAAAGCGGCGCGCUGGACCACUACUGACGCUGAGGAACGAAAGCUAGGGGAGCCAACAGG